Molecule: ribosomal RNA, 56 nt
Filed under: Ganoderma lucidum
Lineage: Eukaryota; Fungi; Basidiomycota; Agaricomycetes; Polyporales; Polyporaceae
Also listed under: 5 other names
Description: partial 25S ribosomal RNA
Source: RNAcentral
UGACCUCUGACCUCAAAUCAGGUAGGACUACCCGCUGAACUUAAGCAUAUCAAUAA